This 493-nucleotide ribosomal RNA is filed under the name uncultured Anaerolineaceae bacterium. Its description in RNAcentral is "bacterial SSU rRNA". It matches the Rfam family "Bacterial small subunit ribosomal RNA", at positions 903 to 1382 of the family's 1533-position model. The record is from RNAcentral. Lineage: Bacteria; Bacillati; Chloroflexota; Anaerolineae; Anaerolineales; Anaerolineaceae.
CCUUGCCAGCCCGCUCAAGAAACUCAAAGGAAUUGACGGGGGCCCGCACAAGCAGCGGAGCGUGUGGUUUAAUUCGAUGCUACACGAAGAACCUUACCCGGGUUUGACAUGCAAGUGGUAGUGAUCCGAAAGGUGAACGACCCGCAAGGGAGCUUGCACAGGUGUUGCAUGGCUGUCGUCAAGCUCGUGUCGUGAGAUGUUCGGUUAAGUCCGCUAACGAGCGCAACCCUCGCUGUAUGUUACAUGUGUCAUACAGGACCGCCGGUAUCAAGCCGGAGGAAGGUGGGGAUGACGUCAAGUCCGCAUGGCCUUUAUGUCCGGGGCUACACACACGCUACAAUGGUCGGUACAAUGGGUUGCUAAGCCGCGAGGUGGAGCCAAUCCCCCAAAGCCGGCCUCAGUUCAGAUUGCAGGCUGCAACUCGCCUGCAUGAAGCUGGAGUUGCUAGUAAACGCGCGUCAGCUAUAGUGCGUUGAAUACGUUCUCGGGCCUU